RNAcentral lists this ribosomal RNA (465 nucleotides) under Vreelandella stevensii. RNAcentral describes it as "partial 16S ribosomal RNA". It matches the Rfam family "Bacterial small subunit ribosomal RNA", at positions 338 to 795 of the family's 1533-position model. Lineage: Bacteria; Pseudomonadati; Pseudomonadota; Gammaproteobacteria; Oceanospirillales; Halomonadaceae. The record is from RNAcentral.
CCUACGGGGGGCAGCAGUGGGGAAUAUUGGACAAUGGGGGGAACCCUGAUCCAGCCAUGCCGCGUGUGUGAAGAAGGCCCUCGGGUUGUAAAGCACUUUCAGUGAGGAAGAACGCCUGGUGGUUAAUACCCAUCAGGAAAGACAUCACUCACAUAAGAAGCACCGGCUAACUCCGUGCCAGCAGCCGCGGUAAUACGGAGGGUGCGAGCGUUAAUCGGAAUUACUGGGCGUAAAGCGCGCGUAGGUGGCUUGAUAAGCCGGUUGUGAAAGCCCCGGGCUCAACCUGGGAACGGCAUCCGGAACUGUCAAGCUAGAGUGCAGGAGAGGAAGGUAGAAUUCCCGGUGUAGCGGUGAAAUGCGUAGAGAUCGGGAGGAAUACCAGUGGCGAAGGCGGCCUUCUGGACUGACACUGACACUGAGGUGCGAAAGCGUGGGUAGCAAACAGGAUUAGAUACCCCUGUAGUC